CCCCUGGCACCAGACCCAAAGAGGCAAUGUCAUCAUUGGGGGUCUUUACAAAUUAUGCAAAGUCCCCAAACAUUGAGAGUGCCACUUUAAGAUAACAGCCAAGCUGCAUCUAUAGCGCAGUUAGAGAAUUAUCAAAACACGUUAUUUUUUUUUUGCCUACAUUUUGCAAUUCCCUGUUUAAGGUAUACACCCCGGCUUUUAUUCUUUACACCAAUCAGCUAGGGUAUCCUAACAUGAGCGGUCUAAAACAGCCCUCACAAAAGAAAAUGUA
Molecule: non-coding RNA, 271 nt
Organism: Pelobates cultripes (western spadefoot toad)
Lineage: Eukaryota; Metazoa; Chordata; Amphibia; Anura; Pelobatidae
Source: the annotation of a GenBank genome assembly